This 643-nucleotide ribosomal RNA is filed under the name Linotetranidae sp. 3 KG-2006. RNAcentral describes it as "bacterial SSU rRNA". It matches the Rfam family "Eukaryotic small subunit ribosomal RNA", at positions 545 to 1045 of the family's 1831-position model. Lineage: Eukaryota; Metazoa; Arthropoda; Arachnida; Trombidiformes; Linotetranidae. The record is from RNAcentral.
AUAUUGGAGGGCAAGUCUGGUGCCAGCAGCCGCGGUAAUUCCAGCUCCAAUAGCGUAUAUUAAAGUUGUUGCGGUUAAAAAGCUCGUAGUUGGAUUUCAGCUCAACCUAUGGGGUCCACUGAAAAAGGGUGGGUCAACUCUAUUUGCCUUCCUUACUCUUCACGGAGUGGGAGCAUUUAGGUUACCCUCCUGGUGGUUACUUCUAUAGCUGUUGGACACAAUUGUGACCGAUUUCUGCUUCUAAUGCUCUUAAUCGAGUGUUAGUUCAAGCAAUCGGUACUUUUACCUUGAAAAAAUUAGAGUGCUCAAAGCAGGCGUACCAACCCUCGCAAGAGGGGCCUACAACGGGUAUGGCCAACCAUCAGACAUGAUGAGUACCAUAUUCCCUAACUUGAAUAAUCUUGCAUGGAAUAAUAGAAUAUGACCUUGGUUCUAUUUUGUUGGUCUUCGGAAUCUGAGGUAAUGAUUAAGAGGGACAGACGGGGGCAUUCGUAUUGCGGCGCUAGAGGUGAAAUUCUUGGACCGUCGCAAGACGAACUACAGCGAAAGCAUUUGCCAAGAAUGUUUUCAUUAAUCAAGAACGAAAGUUAGAGGUUCGAAGGCGAUCAGAUACCGCCCUAGUUCUAACCAUAAACGAUGCCAA